CGUGUAGGCGGUGUGGUAAGUCGGAUGUGAAAUCUCCAGGCUCAACCUGGAAACUGCAUUCGAAACUGCCAUGCUUGAGUACCGGAGAGGGAAACGGAAUUCCUGGUGUAGGGGUGAAAUCUGUAGAUAUCAGGAAGAACACCGGUGGCGAAGGCGGUUUCCUGGCCGGAUACUGACGCUGAGGCGCGAAAGCUAGGGGAGCAAAACA
RNAcentral lists this ribosomal RNA (208 nucleotides) under uncultured bacterium. RNAcentral's name for it is "partial 16S ribosomal RNA". It matches the Rfam family "Bacterial small subunit ribosomal RNA", at positions 568 to 775 of the family's 1533-position model. The record is from RNAcentral.